This 470-nucleotide ribosomal RNA is filed under the name uncultured bacterium. RNAcentral describes it as "bacterial SSU rRNA". It matches the Rfam family "Bacterial small subunit ribosomal RNA", at positions 33 to 518 of the family's 1533-position model. The record is from RNAcentral.
ACGACGCUGGCGGCGUGCUUAACACAUGCAAGUCGAGCGAUGAAGCUUCUCGGAAGUGGAUAGCGGCGGACGGGUGAGUAACACGUGGGUAACCUGCCUCAUAGAGGGGAAUAGCCUUUUGAAAGGAAGAUUAAUACCGCAUAAGAUUGUAGUACCGCAUGGUACAGCAAUUAAAGGAGUAAUCCGCUAUGAGAUGGACCCGCGUCGCAUUAGCUAGUUGGUGAGGUAACGGCUCACCAAGGCGACGAUGCGUAGCCGACCUGAGAGGGUGAUCGGCCACAUUGGGACUGAGACACGGCCCAGACUCCUACGGGAGGCAGCAGUGGGGAAUAUUGCACAAUGGGGGAAACCCUUGAUGCUGCAACGCCGCGUGAGUGAUGACGGUCUUCGGAUUGUAAAACUCUGUCUUUGGGGACGAUAAUGACGGUACCCAAGGAGGAAGCCACGGCUAACUACGUGCCAGCCGCGGC